ACGGGAGGCAGCAGUGGGGAAUAUUGCGCAAUGGGGGAAACCCUGACGCAGCGACGCCGCGUGAGUGAAGAAGUAUUUCGGUAUGUAAAGCUCUAUCAGCAGGGAAGAUAAUGACGGUACCUGACUAAGAAGCACCGGCUAAAUACGUGCCAGCAGCCGCGGUAAUACGUAUGGUGCAAGCGUUAUCCGGAUUUACUGGGUGUAAAGGGAGCGUAGGCGGUUUUACAAGUCUGAUGUGAAAGCCCGGGGCUCAACUCCGGUAUUGCAUUGGAAACUGUAGAACUAGAGUGUCGGAGGGGUAAGUGGAAUUCCUAGUGUAGCGGUGAAAUGCGUAGAUAUUAGGAGGAACACCAGUGGCGAAGGCGGCUUACUGGACGAUUACUGACGCUGAGGCUCGAAAGCGUGGGGAGCAAACAGGAUUAGAUACCCUGGUA
This 434-nucleotide ribosomal RNA is filed under the name uncultured Pseudobutyrivibrio sp. RNAcentral describes it as "partial 16S ribosomal RNA". It matches the Rfam family "Bacterial small subunit ribosomal RNA", at positions 341 to 792 of the family's 1533-position model. The record is from RNAcentral. Lineage: Bacteria; Bacillati; Bacillota; Clostridia; Lachnospirales; Lachnospiraceae.